CAAUCGGCCCUUUUCAGGGCCACCAAAUCUUAAAGAAAGAGAAAA
Regulatory RNA element from Daphnia magna, 45 nucleotides. It matches the Rfam family "Histone 3' UTR stem-loop". From Rfam's summary of the family: The mRNAs of metazoan histone genes lack a poly-A tail. 3' end processing occurs at a site between a highly conserved stem-loop (modelled by this family) and a purine rich region around 20 nts downstream (the histone downstream element, or HDE). The record is from Rfam. Lineage: Eukaryota; Metazoa; Arthropoda; Branchiopoda; Diplostraca; Daphniidae.